Molecule: ribosomal RNA, 253 nt
Filed under: uncultured bacterium
Lineage: Bacteria
Description: partial 16S ribosomal RNA
Rfam family: Bacterial small subunit ribosomal RNA
Source: RNAcentral
UACGUAGGGGGCAAGCGUUAUCCGGAUUUACUGGGUGUAAAGGGAGCGUAGACGGCAUGGCAAGUCAGAUGUGAAAGCCCGGGGCUCAACCCCGGGACUGCAUUUGAAACUGUCAGGCUGGAGUGCAGGAGAGGUAAGCGGAAUUCCUAGUGUAGCGGUGAAAUGCGUAGAUAUUAGGAGGAACACCAGUGGCGAAGGCGGCUUACUGGUCUGCAACUGACACUGAGGCGCGAAAGCGUGGGGAGCAAACAGG